Molecule: unclassified non-coding RNA, 119 nt
Filed under: uncultured Glomeraceae
Lineage: Eukaryota; Fungi; Glomeromycota; Glomeromycetes; Glomerales; Glomeraceae
Description: sequence contains ITS1
Source: RNAcentral
UAAAUCCAAUUUAUACACCCUUGUGAACUGUGCGCUGAAGUUGCUACGCGUUUGUCGUGCAGCUUUCGUUGCAAAAACAACUUAUUUUAAGAAAGCUGAAGCAAUAUUUUAAAAUAAAA